GUUGAUUUAAAGAUUACACUCUUACCGGACCUUAGAAUGGCCGGACUCGCCGUAGAGCAGAGAAAGACAGUCAGGAACGAGCCGAGGUCAAGGGUACAAAGAGACAGCGAAAACAAGAACUAGCCAAGGUCUGGUACACAGUAAUCAGUAAGCCGGCAAACAAGACAAAACAGGGAUAAAGAGAAAAACUGAGUCAGAUACAAAGCCAAGGUCAAGUACGAAAAAUCACAACUGAACAAAACAAGCGCUAAAGGGAACUGAAACAGAAACCACAAUAGGGCAGGGAGUUAAGGGAGAAGUAAGUAUAAAUACCCUAGCAUUUAAUUUGAUUGGCCCCUGUCAUAUCCACGCCCCCAAAAUGUGAGUGUAUGGGGAAUGUGGGAUGACAGGGGCCAAUGGGAGACCGUUUUAUAUUUCGGCUCCCAUGGUCCCUUUAAGAGCGUGCCCGAGACGCACGGCGCGUUCUUAGAGCUAGGCGGGACACGUGACCGCAUCUGAGCUCUGAGCGAGCCGCGAAGCAGGAAUAGAGGACCUCGGCCGGCCCCCGGAUAAGGUAAGUACCGCUACAUUGUGAUCGUGGUUCAUUA
Pelobates cultripes (western spadefoot toad) is the source of this 587-nucleotide non-coding RNA. Lineage: Eukaryota; Metazoa; Chordata; Amphibia; Anura; Pelobatidae. The record is from the annotation of a GenBank genome assembly.